This 477-nucleotide long non-coding RNA is filed under the name Mytilus galloprovincialis (Mediterranean mussel). The record is from RNAcentral. Lineage: Eukaryota; Metazoa; Mollusca; Bivalvia; Mytilida; Mytilidae.
AUAUAAAGAGUUUAAAUCUUAGUUUGUAUUAAAUUAUAAUAAAUAUAAACGUUAUACAAUGGAUAAUUUUAGAAAGAAACAAAUGUUUGUCACAAAGUAAUUAGUUGUUGAACAAUAGACCAAUUUAUACUAUGAAAUAUAAAUGCAAGCUCUACCUUAUGGAAUAUGAUACUUGUCAGGUGCUACACAGUGUAAAGAAUAUUUACAUAAUUUUUACCCCAUGUGCCUUUUGUUGUCAUUCAUAUCUGAGACCCCAGUUAAAAGUAGAAUUGAAAAAUCUAUAGUAUAAAAAAGCUUGAUAACUUCAAGGUCCUGUCAUGAAAAAUUACAAUUGUCUCAAAAUAUCAUUAAACUUUGUUUCCAUAUAAUAUUCCCUGCUAUUAUUUUAUGGGGAAGGGGGGAUUCCUAUCAAUUGAAAAAAAGCAAAAACCUUUAUGGUAUCACAUCAUUUCCCACUUACCCAUACACAUAUCAGGA